AAUGAAUGGAGAGGAGAAAACCUAUGGUGGCUGUGAAGGCCCUGAGAUGCCAUGUAUGUCAAAUUGAUACCAUCUGAUGGCCAUGAAUUUAUUGUAAAAAGAGAACAUGCAUUAAUAUCAGGCAUGAUAAAAGCCAUGUUGAACAGCCCUGGUCAAUUUGCCGAGAAUGAAACCAAUGAGGUCAAUUUUAGAGAGAUACCUUCGUAUGUGCUAUCAAAAGUAUGCAUGUAUUUUACUUACAAGGUUCGCUACACUAACAGCUCCACUGAGAUUCCCGAAUUCCCAAUCACACCUGAAAUUGCACUAGAACUGCUGGUGGCUGUGAACUUCCUAGAUU
This 337-nucleotide long non-coding RNA is filed under the name Homo sapiens (human). Its description in RNAcentral is "non-protein coding lnc-RPE65-3:1". The record is from RNAcentral. Lineage: Eukaryota; Metazoa; Chordata; Mammalia; Primates; Hominidae.